UGGGAGUAAAAGUCGUAACAAGGUCUCCGUUGGUGAACCAGCGGAGGGAUCAUUACCGAGUUUACAACUCCCAAACCCAAUGUGAACGUUACCAAACUGUUGCCUCGGCGGGGUCACGCCCCGGGUGCGUCGCAGCCCCGGAACCAGGCGCCCGCCGGAGGAACCAACCAAACUCUUUCUGUAGUCCCCUCGCGGACGUAUUUCUUACAGCUCUGAGCAAAAAUUCAAAAUGAAUCAAAACUUUCAACAACGGAUCUCUUGGUUCUGGCAUCGAUGAAGAACGCAGCGAAAUGCGAUAAGUAAUGUGAAUUGCAGAAUUCAGUGAAUCAUCGAAUCUUUGAACGCACAUUGCGCCCGCCAGUAUUCUGGCGGGCAUGCCUGUCCGAGCGUCAUUUCAACCCUCGAACCCCUCCGGGGGAUCGGCGUUGGGGAUCGGGACCCCUCACACGGGUGCCGGCCCCUAAAUACAGUGGCGGUCUCGCCGCAGCCUCUCCUGCGCAGUAGUUUGCACAACUCGCACCGGGAGCGCGGCGCGUCCACGUCCGUAAAACACCCAACUUUCUGAAAUGUUGACCUCGGAUCAGGUAGGAAUACCCGCUGAACUUAAGCAUAUCA
Molecule: ribosomal RNA, 615 nt
Filed under: Trichoderma asperellum
Lineage: Eukaryota; Fungi; Ascomycota; Sordariomycetes; Hypocreales; Hypocreaceae
Description: eukaryotic LSU rRNA
Rfam family: 5.8S ribosomal RNA (bases 239-392)
Source: RNAcentral